UGUUAUGAUGAGCAACGGGUCUACCGAGCGAACCGGACGCGGUAAGCAAUGAGGAACCGUUGGAGCACUGAAC
Small nucleolar RNA from Candidatus Methanoperedens, 73 nucleotides. It matches the Rfam family "Small nucleolar RNA sR3". NCBI's taxonomy places the organism in Archaea, Methanobacteriati, Methanobacteriota, Methanomicrobia, Methanosarcinales, Candidatus Methanoperedentaceae. The record is from Rfam.